GAUCUCUUUCAAUCCCAGUAGCCAGUAAAUAACAAUCCAUUUGAGUCAGUAGAUCAACAACCAACUUUGUUUAUUCCGAUCAAUCUUGACAAUCGGGGUCUUUCUGUGCUUUCUAGUGCAACAAAAUACCAACUCGUCCAAACAGUUCCCAAGUGCGGUGCCGUUUACAGUCUUCCUCGAUUCCCACGUGUCCUAUCGAAUAAAUCAUCCUUUGACACGUCUCCGGGGACUUUUUUCCUUCAAGGAGACGAAAACGUACCAAAGGGCACAAGACACAAAAAGUUGCGCGCGUGGGUUGAAAGAAACCAUUAUGGACCUUGAUUCCGCAUAAUUUCAUCAUUACGAGUCACCGCAAUCACAAUUUUACCUUCUUUCCUGGGCUGGCUCGGAACCCGUAAUCAAAUAAAUCCGGGCAUCCGCACAAAAAGGUGAACCCUUUUUUUCAGGGCCCUAUUAUUGGCGCGAAUUCUAACGAAACCGGGUCAUAAAUCUAAAUUUGUGCAAUUCAGUGGAUCGGAAAAGGAGAGCACAAAAAACGUUACAAAAACCGGUGACCGUGAAGUUUUAUAAUGAAUCAAAACUAUGUGCGAAAAUGUGAAGAAUAUUUGCAAAAUAUGCCUCCCCAAAACGAGGCGCAUCCUUCGGUCCGAAGGCAACAACGUGUUGAAUCGGGUUCUGUGAACCAAAGACUGAUAACGACCGCCGCCGUCAACAAGGGGAAACGAUAUCCGGCAUCCCGAAAAACUGCCCAACAGCCAGAACCGUUCGGAGGCGAAAAGCAGUCAAUCAAUAAUCCUGUGCCUAUUGGUGUUGAUUCGAAGGGAUCAGUUUGGAAAGUAAAAGGUAAAACAUUGUCCAAUCCGGGUCAGCAGGAGAAACAACCAGGCUCCAAAUAUGUUCGGCCUUGUUGUCGCCCACCGCCUCAUCAACAGAAACGGGUCUUAGUGGAUAGAGUUCCUUGCGCCCGCCCCAAUUUAUCCGUUGGAGGAUGCCCGCAAAAGGCUAGUGAUAAUGUCAAUCAGUCUGACAACGAGAAACCGUUGGAGACGCACCCGAUUGAGCAACCCACCAAGAGGUAUUACGAGUACGGGUCAGUUGAAGACGGGCAGCGGCAGCAAAAUGCGAAAAGCGUAACAACCGGCAGCUGGGAUGGAAUUCUGACGUCUACGGGCACGGGAAUGUCGUUGUCGCAGAUCAAAUCAAAGAAUGCGUCUCAUCACAGUGCAGUGCCCGCCGAGGUCCCACCAGGACUACAGUCAACGUCAGCAUCCUCAUCAUCAUCGUCAGCAGCGCCAUCGUAUUCUACCACACGACCGAACAGCUCUAUUGUAGCCGUUCCCCCGCAGCCCCGACGAUCUGCGGCAACACCCCAACCUAGCCGGCCCAAUGUGAUGUGCAAGUCAUCGGAGCUGGAUACUGACGGUAUUAAUUUAUUCCGUUUCGAUCCACUGAGGACCCUUCAAUUUUUAACGCUCGAGCUCAAGUCCAAGCUGAAAGCUCUCGAUUCCUCCACUAGUGACAGUCCAGAGCUCAAACAGUUGUACAAAAUUUCCAAGGAGGUUUUGCUGGCAGUGAAAAUAUUAACCGAAAGCUGGAAUGUAAAUCAGAAGCUAACUGGCAAUUGUAAGCGGUGCGAGAAGCUUAAAAUGCACCAAUCUGACGUGAAUCAUGUUAGCAUCAACUCACAGGAUACUAUCGGCGUGAGAUGCAAGAGCUGCGAUAAUCUCAGAAACGAGCUGGACCGGCAAAGUGCGCACCACUCCGAGCAGACUGAACUACUAAACGAGGAAAUUAAUUAUCUCAAGGCCAAAUUGAUGACCCCCGCCAACAACGGCGACAGCACAAAGCACCAGUCAAGGGAGCAGCCCGAGCCGGAAAGCUGCCUUCCGAACCCAACCUUGCCGCCAACCGAUCUGGAGCUCCAAAAGUGGCUGGAAGGGGAAAUUAAGCGAUUGCAGACGAUGAUAAGUGACAAACAAACGCUCCAAGACGGCCUUAUCGACGAUCUCAAUCGGAAGCUGCAGGAAGCCACCAGUCGCUGUCGCCAUCUCGAGCUCGCCCGGAACGAGUCGGAGAAGCGUCUUCUGUACGCAACGCUCGAGAACGAACGGCUGAAUUUUCUCCUAAACACUCAAGCAUCGACCAUGACCACCUUGAAAAGUGAUUUCCGUGCAAUUGAAACCCUCGCCCACCAACAAAUCGACCUUUUCCAAGAUCGCACUCAAAGCCCUUCUAAUGCUGGCCACACGAGUGCCACUCGUUCCCCCAUUGGCGACAACAAAGCAUCGAACCCCAUCAACACCACCAUCAUCGAUAAUCACCAUUGCAAUUAUCGGCAACCUUCCAGCGCAAUCCCAUCGACAAGCCGUUUCUCCUCCGGUACUCCUUCCGGUGACUCCGAUGAUGGCGAUAGCAACAGAAAUCAGCAGCCUUUUUCCAGCCCUGGUUGGCAGCAGCAAUCAUCAAAUGCCGAUACCACCACCAUCACCAGCAGCAGGAAAAGCUCCCAGGAAAAACUCGAUGCAUGCAUGGGGGCGGAAAAACUCAGGAAGCAAAGGCGUCAUUAUGGCUUUAAAAAUAUCGCUGAAAAAGAAAGUGACGACGGUAAUGAUGCUAACGACUUGCUGGCUUCACUGCCAUCCUCGUCUUCCCGUUCGAUGACGGCACUAUCGGAGGCACUAAAGACGACAAAGGUACUCGGCGACAACACCCUGGAUGCUACUGCUACUGCAUUCCGACGAAAGCCAGAUGAUCAUUUGAUGAAUGUUCAGGAGGAAGCUGAUGCAGCAGCUAUUGCCGGGAACGAUGGGAGAAAUGGGUCAUAUUUCAAAUCAACCGCACUAGCACAAACUUCUGCACCGCAUGAAAAGUUGAGCUCAUCGAAAUCCAUGUCAGCGAUCGAAUGUGUGCGAUCAAAACCAGUCAGGCGAACAAUUUUGAUUGAUUCGGAUUGUGAGUUAUCAUUACCGGAACCGGAAAGGCCGUUUUCCAAAGCUGGUGUCGACGUCAAUCAGAACUAUGCCGUCACCGAUUUCCCAGUGCCAGAGGCUAAAAAAAGAUUCCCCCUCUCAGCCAAAGGUAUGACCAAGGGAAAAACAAUCGAUGGUAAAAAUGAUUCCAGUAAGACUAAUAAUGAUUGCGCCAGACUAAGUUUCCGACCGGAGCAGCAACAACACCAUCAACAUCUGCCGCCGCCGGGAUUGGAACGGCUAAUGGCAUCAGUGGCUGGCAAACCUUCUUUCCCAAAAGGCAACGGCAAAAAGGACAACGACAAUGGCGCCGGAGCCACCAUGGAAGAAAAAUACCCAAGGGAUUAUGGUGAUAAAUUUGAGCGGCGUGAAAGUUGCUUGCUCCGGUUGCCGUUUUCGCCGGAGAGGGAGCUUUGCCAAAAUCGUCCGAUAAUAGGUCAGAUUAGACAGUCAGGACGUAGUGCCGGUGAGAAGGCACCGAAAGGAACUAGUGCGAUGUGACAAUUCGACGGGGAAGUCAAGGAGUCAGGAGAAGGAAGGAAAGCCUUCGCUGUCGCUAACGAGUCUACUUCCGGCCCACGGCGAACGGAGGAGUUUUCUAUUGACUUUGAUGACAUAACUCUACCAACCUCGCCAAUUCCAUUCCAAGGUGGAAGCCUUUCAGCGAUUGCAGAAAAGCUCGUAUCAGCUGAUUUUUGAGUAUUGUGGUUAUCAUUUGUUUAUUUUAACAUUAGGAUGAGGUAAGAAUGACACUUGAUGGUGUAUAAAAUUUUAUAAUUAGUUUGUCAUAAAUUCCAAAUAUGGCUUGCAUUGCAAAGAGUAAUUUUUGAAAUUGUCCUGAUUAACAUUUCCCAAACAUCGUUUUUUGGCAACGCCUUGCAUUUUUUACAAUUCCUUUGGAAUACCCCAGGACUACUUUUGCUUCGAGAUCAACAUAGCGGUUAGAGAAUUUGUGAAGGAAUAUUUAGCAAAAUAGCUGAAAGGCAGGUGUGAAUUAUUAAAAUACUCAAAAAGAAAUAAAGAAUAGUAAUCUUCGUCAAAA
This is an RNA transcript of Aedes aegypti (yellow fever mosquito), 4011 nucleotides long. RefSeq lists it as uncharacterized. NCBI's taxonomy places the organism in Eukaryota, Metazoa, Arthropoda, Insecta, Diptera, Culicidae. The record is from RefSeq and is a predicted model, not a curated record. The transcript is spliced from 10 exons.